This 236-nucleotide ribosomal RNA is filed under the name uncultured bacterium. RNAcentral's name for it is "partial 16S ribosomal RNA". It matches the Rfam family "Bacterial small subunit ribosomal RNA", at positions 15 to 253 of the family's 1533-position model. The record is from RNAcentral.
GAUCCUGGCUCAGAUUGAACGCUGGCGGCAUGCCUUACACAUGCAAGUCGAACGGCAGCACGGACUUCGGUCUGGUGGCGAGUGGCGAACGGGUGAGUAAUACAUCGGAACGUGCCUGGUAGUGGGGGAUAACUACUCGAAAGAGUGGCUAAUACCGCAUGAGAUCUACGGGUGAAAGCAGGGGAUCGCAAGACCUUGUGCUACUAGAGCGGCCGAUGGCAGAUUAGGUAGUUGGG